Non-coding RNA from Protopterus annectens (West African lungfish), 474 nucleotides. The record is from the annotation of a RefSeq genome assembly. Lineage: Eukaryota; Metazoa; Chordata; Ceratodontiformes; Protopteridae.
AUGGAAUAUGCUUACUUUGUCACUUUUCUUCUGACACUGUACACAAGUGUGCAGAGCCAGGAAGCAGUAACACAGACACCACAUACACUUGCUGCAAAUGAGGGUAAAGAUGUGGAGUUUUCCUGCAAAGUCAGAGCUGCUGAUGACACUAUUGUGUGGUACAAACAGGUGCCUAACCACGGAUUACAGAUCAUGAUUCAUACUUAUGGUAAAACCAAAACGAGUGGUCGAUUUAAAUUGACAAAACACAACAAUACUCUCUGGGUGUUCAGCCUCAGUAAGGUGAUGUUACAAGAUUCUGCCUUGCACUUCUGCGCAGCGAGUGGCACAGAGGUACAGAUGCAGGAACUCUUGAGACAUAAAGUAUAUCCUGUCACGAGCGUCUGUAGUACUGAUACCCUCUGCUGCCAUGGAGAGAGCUUUGAUUGUGAGGACCCAUGCCAUGAGCCUGACAAGGAUGAGAGAAGUAUUUGA